RNAcentral lists this ribosomal RNA (957 nucleotides) under Triticum aestivum (bread wheat). RNAcentral describes it as "partial small subunit ribosomal RNA". The record is from RNAcentral. Lineage: Eukaryota; Viridiplantae; Streptophyta; Magnoliopsida; Poales; Poaceae.
AUGGCCAAAGGUCCAAAGGUAACACAUCCCGAGUAUGUUGAUUUCAAUAGUGAUGAAGAUGACUUGUUGGGUGAUGAUGAUUUACUUAUUGACAACUCUAGUGAUGAAUACUAUGAUGAAACGUCAAUUAAUCAUGCUAAACAGGAUAAAACGAAUGACAAUGAUAAGGAGAAGAUUGAGCUUCUAACUAAAGAACCAAACACUCUUAAGUUAGCUCAUGAAACUAUCUUCGAAAAUCAUCGAGAACUUUUAAGGGCUCAUGAGAAGUUAUGCUUUGAAAAGCUCAAUCUUGAGCAAGAACAUGAGUUCUUAAAGGCAAUCAAUGAUGAUCUUCGCAAAAAAAGUUCUUCUCAUAUUGCCAAGCGUUUACUCUUAUCAACUUACAUGCCUCAAGUCAAGUCUAGUAACAAGGACAAGAAAGAUUCUUCCUCUAGUAGUAACAAUAAUAAUGCUAAAUCAAAUAUUGUUGCUUCUAGUAGUUCUCUUGAUUCCACUAAUGAUUCUCUUAGCCAAGUUACACUUGAGGAAGAAAACAGCUUAUUGAAGGGAAUUAUAGAGAAAGGUGUAUACAAGAGCCUUGCCGGGCGUAAGCAAUUCGAGGAAAUUGUACGCAAGAAAGGAAGGCACCGGAAGAAUCAAGGUGUUGGUUUUGAACGAAAGUUCAAUGCCAAUGGAGUUGAGUGGGAAGAAGAUCAAUACCCCAAGACUAAGUUUGUUCCUCAACAAGAGAAGUAUGAUCCUACUUCUUUCAAGGGAACACAAGCUCAAGAUGAUCUUCCACCACAAGACCGAAAGGGCAAAGACAAGCUUCAAGAGGAGAUUGAUGCAUUUGAAGAAGCACCUAAGGCCUUGGUCAAGUGGGUUCCCAAGACUACGUCAAGUUCUACUUCAUCAAGUACAACUACAACUCCAAGGAUUCCCAUCAAGAUGAUGUGGAUCCCGAAGAAGAAGAACUAG